UUUAUCACAAUAUGCUAAUAUUUUGAGAAGGACCUGUAUUCCCUUGACCAGACAACACUUGUCAUCUGCCCAGCAAGCUGAUGAAACAUUAAAAAAAUGUUUCAAGAACGUGGUAAGUCCUGAAGAAGCCAAUAAAGGAAAACAAGCCUACAUUUUGGAACAAGUUGUCUUAAUGUGUCAAUGGUCUCCAUCAGGUGCAGAAAGUUCAGACUGAAGUAGAGUUAAACAGAUUGUUAUGCCAACUACAUAUAGACAAAGAGUUUUGUCUCUGGCUCAUGAAAGCCAGUGGUCUGGUCAAAUGGGUGUUACCAAGACAUACAAGCUUCUGUAAAAACACUUUUUCUGGCCUGGUAUGAAACGGGAUGUCUCCAGGUUCUGUUGCAGAUGCCACGUGUGCCAGAUAGCUGGUAAACCAAAUCACGUAAUACCCCUUGCUCCACUGAGCCCUAUUCCAGUUAUGCAGCAGCCAUUUGACCAUGUCAUAGUAGACUGUGUUGGGCCAUUACCGAGAACAAAGUGUGGAAACCAAUAUUUGCUCACAAUCAUGUGUGCUGCUACGCGCCUGAAACCAUUCCUUUGAAUAAGAUUACAGCAAAAUCAGUUGAUAGAGCACUGACUAAUUUUUUUUCUGUAUUUGGCCUGCCAAAAACCUUACAGACUGACCAAGGAACAAUUUUCCAAUCGAAAUUGUUCAAGCAGGUGGCCCAAUCUCUAAAUAUUAAGCACAUUGUCUGCUCUCCAUACCACCCAGAGUCACAGGGGGCAUUAGAACGGUGGCAUCAAAACCUUAAGUCCAUGCUGCGCAAAUACUGCUUGGACACUGGGAGGAGUUGGGAUGAGGGGGUCCCAUUUGUAGUGUUUGCUGCUAGAGAAGCUGUUCAGGAGUCUCUUGGUUUCAGUCCUGCUGAAUUGGUCUUUGGUCACACACCUCAUGGACCUCUCAGAGCUUUGAAAGAAACUUUCAUGGUUCCUGCAGAAGGCUCUAAGAAUACAGUGACUAAAUAUGUACAAACAUUUCGUGAGCGCCUCUGUCAUGUUAACACCCUGGCUAAGAAACACUUAGCUGAUUCUCAGAAGAGAAUGAAAAAUACUUAUGAUAAAACAUCCGUUAAUAGGGAGUUCCAAAUGGGAGAUCAGGUUGUUGCUCUCCUUCCUGUUCUUGGCUCAGCCUUAUCUGCCAAAUUUGAUGGACCUUAUGAAGUCCUAAAGAAAAUAGGGGAGAAUGAUUAUGUAAUUGGUACCCCUAAUCAGCGGUGCAAGUCUCGUGUUUGCCAUGUGAACAUGCUCAAGUUAUAACACCCCCGACCUGCAUCAGAAACCACUGGGGUGUGUGCUCCGGUUGCAGCUACUGCUCAAUUAUAAGUAGAUGAACUGGGUGAUGAUGGUAUAAAAACAAAUUAUCCCAUCUGUUCUAGUCCUCGACUUACAAAUUCAGAGAUGUUAAAACCUCUGAAGAAUCAACUUGACCACUUGUCCCCCAAACAUCAGGAGGAUGUAGUGAUUCUAGUUGAGUACACAAGUUUGUUUGGUGAUGUUCCAACCUGCACUACAGUGCUAGAACAUGACAUAAAUGUCCAAAAUGCAAAGCCAAUCAAGCAGCACCCUUACCAUGCAAACCCUGUGAAACGUUCACUAAUGAAGCAGUAAGCUGAAUAUCUGUUGAAACAUGGUUUAGCUAAACCUAGUCAAAGUCCCUGGAGCUCACCAUGUUUACAAGAAACCAAGUCAGAUGGCUCACCACGUUUUAUCACAGACUUUCGGAAAGUAAAUUCUGUCACAGUACCUGACUCAUAUCCUCUCCCCAGGAUCGAGGAUUGUGUGGAUAAUAUUGGAGUUGCAAAGUAUGUUACGAAGUUAGACCUUCUUAAAGGUUACUGGCAAGUCCCUUUAACUGAAAAAGCUUCCAACAUUUCAGCCUUCGUUACUCCAGAUGACUUACAAUACACUGUUAUGGCAUUUGGUAUGUGUAAUGCCCCGGCUACCUUUCAGAGGUUGAUAAAUGGAAUAUUGCAUGGCAUUCCCAACUGCAGUGCCUAUUUAUAUGAUCUGGUAGUCUACACUAAGACAUGGCAGGAUCAUUUAAAAAUUUUAUGCCAAGUAUUUCACAGUUUGGCCCAAGCUUCUUUGACUCUUAACCUGGCAAAGUGUGAAUUUGCCAAGGUCACUGUGACCUAUUUAGGCAGAGAUUUGGGACAAGAACAGGUCCGUCCCAUAAACGCUAAGGUUGUGGCGAUUAACGAUUAUCCCAUACCCAAAACCAGACGUGAACUGCGCAGAUUUCUUGGAAUGGUUGGCUAUUACCGAAACAUUUGCGUAAAUUUCUCCUCUGUUCAACCAUUAACCAAUUUACUUAGCCCAAAACUUGAUUUUGUUUGGUCAGAUGAAUGUCAAAGUGCUUUUGAAAGUGCUAAAGCUCUUCUUUGCCAUUCUCCAGUGCUAGCUGCACCUGAUUUGACUUGACCUUUCAAACUGGAGGUUGAUGCCAGCGCUGUUGGGGCUGGCGCAGUGCUGUUGCAAACAGACUUGCAAGGUUUAGACCACACCCGGUUUGCUAUUUCUUCCCGCAAGUUUAACAACAACCAGCUGAACUAUUCGACUAUUGAAAAAGAAACCUUGGCCUUAUUGUUGGCCCUUCAGCAUUUCCAUGUGUACCCUGGGUCUAGCAGUUUACCGAUUGAUGUAUUCACUGAUCAUGGUCCGUUGGUUUUUCUCACGCAUGUAUAACCACAACAGCGCCUUAUGCGGUGGGCGUUACUUCUGCAAGAAUACAAUUUGAAUAUUAAGGAUAAGAAAGGAAAAGAAAAUGUUCUCGCCGAUGGCCUUUCCAGGGUGGGGAGUGUUACGGCCUCUGGGCUUGCAGUCUUUUCUUUUAUGCAGAUUCAGGUGUGGGAGCACACUCAGAUGAUUGGCUGCCUGUAGGCUGCUGGGGAACCUGAUUGGACCUGCUGAAUCACCAAGCCAAUCAGUGGAUGAGACCCACCUGCAUCCUACAAAAGGCUCCUGGAUUCAUUCUUUCAGUGGGGGAGCUUUUGGAAGAGGUUUUAUACAGCCGACCCCUGCUUUGCUUUGUGUGUUGAGUUUGGAGACUGUUUUGGAAGCUGCACAUUAUUUUGAUGCUGCUGACCCUCCUUGCGCUGCUUACCAGUUUGGUUAAAUGCUUGUUUGUUUUCUAGUUCAAUCUAGAGUGUUGUGUUUGAGAAUAUUGGGCUGGAUUUGUCAUUUUCUGUCAGCCGUAUUAUAUGUUGGAACCGUGCUCCUUGUAAUAAAUACCCUUAAAUGUUCUCCUUUUAACU
Long non-coding RNA from Girardinichthys multiradiatus, 3293 nucleotides. RefSeq lists it as uncharacterized. Lineage: Eukaryota; Metazoa; Chordata; Actinopteri; Cyprinodontiformes; Goodeidae. The transcript has 2 exons. The record is from RefSeq and is a predicted model, not a curated record.